GCAGCUGGAGCUCCUUGUCCAGGGCCCUGUUGUGGGGACAAAGGCACGAAUCAAUGCAUUCUCGGUUCUUUUGUCCUAAAUAAUUGGCUUCCAUUAAGUGGGCUGGACGAGUGAGGCACUCACAGGAACAGGAGCCUGGAACUUAUGAAAAUGGAUCUGAGGGAGGAGCCAGGAGGAGCAGCUCUGAGGGGCCCCCAGGGGUCCACCCUCCCACCGCCACCUUGGGAAGGGGUCUCGACCUCUCUGGGCUUAGUUUCCGCCUCUGCAGACAGAGUGGGGGCGAGGGGACUGCUGGCUGGGGGUUUUCAAAUUGCACUUGGCAAAGCCCUGGGGGUCCACGGGUCUGGUGCGGAGCAGGACUCCGGACAGACCCUCCAGAACUCAGCUGGAGCAGCCCCUUCUCUCUACCUGUUUCACGUAUUGGGCUGUUUCUUUCCAUUUUAAUUUGAGCAAAAGACACCCAGCCAAAAAAAAAAAAAGCAUUUGAAACCACUAGACAGGGGAUAGUUAGGGUCCAUCCCAGCUCUAGAACUUUCCAGAUCCCACCUUGAGGUUUGGGGGUCUUAGAACAGAGGAGUGGCCCGUCUGUCAUUGAGGGAGGCUUGGUCCAGGUGGCCUGACCUACUGUGGCCACGCUCUGUGACCUUGAGCCAGCCUUGCCUCUGAGCCGCACUCCCUGCAUCGGAGAAAAGAGGAAGUGACGAGUCGGGUGGUGACUGCAGUGACAACCGUAAUCGCCGACCUUUCCAGGUACCUACAACCACACUCCAGUUGCCGCGAAGAAACACACCUGUCCUUGCUCUCAUGGAACUUACAGUCUGCUUGGAAACAAAGAAUGAAAGUCGUAAAUCAGUAAAACAGGAAGAUCAAGCUGGGAAGGGGACUGGUGGGAGAAGUUUGAGCAUAUUUUUAGGCUGUUGAGAAUGAUCCUGGAAAGGGGAUAAAAUUACUGAUGCCGGAGAGAGAAGACCUGCUGGUGCGAAGUGUUUGUGUGGGUGAAAGGGGCCGGCAUCGAAGCUCAGAUGGACACGGCUUAAAUAGGCUACAAAGAAAGAAACUGAGGCCCAGAGAGGUGAAGUGACCUCCCCUGGGACCCACAGGCUCCUGCUUGAAGAAACAGGGCGGUGGCCCCCAGUGUUGGCUUGGGAGUGAGGUCCUGUGAGGCUG
Molecule: long non-coding RNA, 1167 nt
Filed under: Equus caballus (horse)
Lineage: Eukaryota; Metazoa; Chordata; Mammalia; Perissodactyla; Equidae
Description: lncRNA (ENSECAG00000058318.1)
Source: RNAcentral